GUGAAACAAUCAAUCCACUCUCAUUAUAACUUCCACAACAGAAAAUUUUAUGUUAUUUGCCUACUACCAAUGCAGUUUAACUGAUUUUACAUUGACUGAACAAGGUUGAUUUUAUUUAGGUCUAGUGAAAAUACUGAAGAAGUAUGACAAGAGAACAGGAGCACUUAUCAGGCAGCCCUUCAUCGAAAAGGUGCUGUAGCAGCCAUUCUUUACAACUGAUCUCCUAUACAAACUCGUGAAGGAGUGUGUGGCUAUGCUCGACCACCUCUUCCCCAGCAACAACCUAUCAAUUUCAGCAGAAUGCGACGGACAAAAUGGAGUGCCAAAGCCGGCACAAUCAGGUGGGAGGGUUUCGGAGUUGGAGGAGAUUAAAUAUAUGCAGAGCUUAUACAUGAAGAGCACCGUAGCAGAGCUGCAGUCCUUGAAACAGAUUAGGAGCAAAAGUUCAACAGUCAAAACAGAUUAGAAAAUCUCGUGUUAUAUUGUUCUACCUUUGUUUUAAUAGUGUUAUCAUUUUGUUGGUUGUUUAUGAAA
Molecule: long non-coding RNA, 534 nt
Organism: Zingiber officinale
Lineage: Eukaryota; Viridiplantae; Streptophyta; Magnoliopsida; Zingiberales; Zingiberaceae
Exons: 2
Source: RefSeq, a predicted model, not a curated record